AUACGUAGGUGGCGAGCGUUGUCCGGAAUUACUGGGCGUAAAGGGUGCGUAGGCGGAUAUUUAAGUCAGAUGUGAAAUUCCCGGGCUCAACCUGGGAAGUGCAUUUGUGACUGUAGGACUCGAGUGUGGCAGAGGGGGGUGGAAUUCCACGUGUAGCAGUGAAAUGCGUAGAGAUGUGGAGGAACACCAGUGGCGAAGGCGGCUUUCUGGACGGUGUCUGACACUGAGGCGCGAAAGCGUGGGGAGC
This 247-nucleotide ribosomal RNA is filed under the name uncultured bacterium. RNAcentral describes it as "partial 16S ribosomal RNA". It matches the Rfam family "Bacterial small subunit ribosomal RNA", at positions 523 to 769 of the family's 1533-position model. The record is from RNAcentral.